The sequence is a ribosomal RNA, 311 nucleotides long. It matches the Rfam family "Bacterial large subunit ribosomal RNA", at positions 2602 to 2925 of the family's 2925-position model.
GAGCUGGGUUUAGAACGUCGUGAGACAGUUCGGUCCCUAUCUGCCGCGGGUGUUGGAGGUUUGAGAGGAGCUGUCCCUAGUACGAGAGGACCGGGAUGGACGCACCUCUGGUGCACCGGUUGUGACGCCAGUCGCAUCGCCGGGUAGCCACGUGCGGACGAGAUAACCGCUGAAAGCAUCUAAGCGGGAAACUCACCUCAAAACAAGACCUCCCUCAAGAGCCGUGCAAGACCAGCACGUCGAUAGGGGGCAUGUGGACGCGCGGCAACGCGUGAAGCUGAGCCCUACUAAUCGCUCGUUCGGCUUGAUCC